RNAcentral lists this ribosomal RNA (253 nucleotides) under uncultured bacterium. RNAcentral's name for it is "partial 16S ribosomal RNA". It matches the Rfam family "Bacterial small subunit ribosomal RNA", at positions 524 to 776 of the family's 1533-position model. The record is from RNAcentral.
UACGGGGGGGGCAAGCGUUGUUCGGAAUUACUGGGCGUAAAGGGCUUGUAGGCGGCCAACUAAGUCAGACGUGAAAUCCCUCGGCUUAACCGGGGAACUGCGUCUGAUACUGGAUGGCUAGAGGUUGGGAGAGGGAUGCGGAAUUCCAGGUGUAGCGGUGAAAUGCGUAGAUAUCUGGAGGAACACCGGUGGCGAAGGCGGCAUCCUGGACCAAUUCUGACGCUGAGGAGCGAAAGCCAGGGGAGCAAACGGG